This is a non-coding RNA of Parelaphostrongylus tenuis, 79 nucleotides long. The record is from the annotation of a GenBank genome assembly. Lineage: Eukaryota; Metazoa; Nematoda; Chromadorea; Rhabditida; Metastrongylidae.
GAAUCGGUGGUGUAGUGGUAGUACGCGUCCCUUGUAUGGAUGAAACGCGGGUUUGACUCCCGCUUGUGGUCGUGUUUCU